Molecule: unclassified non-coding RNA, 330 nt
Filed under: soil metagenome
Description: partial contains 5.8S ribosomal RNA, internal transcribed spacer 2, and large subunit ribosomal RNA
Rfam family: 5.8S ribosomal RNA (bases 1-120)
Source: RNAcentral
GAUGAAGAACGUAGCGAAAUGCGAUAAGUAAUGUGAAUUGCAGAAUUCAGUGAAUCAUCGAAUCUUUGAACGCACAUUGCGCCCUCUGGUAUUCCGGGGGGCAUGCCUGUUCGAGCGUCAUUACAACCCUCAAGCUUUGCUUGGUAUUGGACAUUGCCAGUUUCUGGCAGGUCUUAAAAUCAGUAGCGGUGCCAUUUGGCUUCAAGCGUAGUAAUUCUUCUCGCUUUGGAGAUCCAGGUGGUUACUUGCCAAUAACCCCCAAUUUUUUCAGGUUGACCUCGGAUCAGGUAGGGAUACCCGCUGAACUUAAGCAUAUCAAUAAGCGGAGGA